UACGUAGGGGGCAAGCGUUGUCCGGAUUUAUUGGGCGUAAAGAGCGUGUAGGCGGCCAGGUAGGUCCGCUGUGAAAACUCUGGGCUCAACUCAGAGCCUGCAGGCGAAACUGCCGUGCUUGAGUGUGGGAGAGGUGCGUGGAAUUCCCGGUGUAGCGGUGAAAUGCGUAGAUAUCUGGAGGAACACCGGUGGCGAAGGCGGCAUCCUGGACCAACACUGACGCUGAGGAGCGAAAGCCAGGGGAGCAAACGGG
RNAcentral lists this ribosomal RNA (253 nucleotides) under uncultured bacterium. RNAcentral describes it as "partial 16S ribosomal RNA". It matches the Rfam family "Bacterial small subunit ribosomal RNA", at positions 524 to 776 of the family's 1533-position model. The record is from RNAcentral.